Molecule: ribosomal RNA, 752 nt
Filed under: uncultured Glomus
Lineage: Eukaryota; Fungi; Glomeromycota; Glomeromycetes; Glomerales; Glomeraceae
Description: SSU rRNA
Rfam family: Eukaryotic small subunit ribosomal RNA
Source: RNAcentral
GGCCUACCAUGGUGGUAACGGGUAACGGGGUGUUAGGGCACGACACCGGAGAGGGAGCCUGAGAAACGGCUACCACAUCCAAGGAUGGCAGCAGGCGCGCAAAUUACCCAAUCCCGACACGGGGAGGUAGUGACAAUAAAUAACAAUACGGGGUUCUUUAGGAUCUCGUAAUUGGAAUGAGUACAAUUUAAAUCUCUUAACGAGGAACAAUUGGAGGCAAGUCUGGUGCCAGCAGCCGCGGUAAUUCCAGCUCCAAUAGCGUAUAUUAAAGUUGUUGCAGUUAAAAAGCUCGUAGUUGAAUUUCGGGGUUAGUAGGUUGGUCAUGCCUCUGGUAUGUACUGGUCUCACUGAUUCAUCCUUCCUGAUGAGCCGUAAUGCCAUUAAUUUGGUGUUGCGGGGAAUUUGGACCGUUACUUUGAAAAAAUUAGAGUGUUUAAAGCAAGCUAACGCUUGAAUACAUUAGCAUGGAAUAAUGAAAUAGGACGUUCGAUCCUAUUUUGUUGGUUUCUAGGAUUGACGUAAUGAUUAAUAGGGAUAGUUGGGGGCAUUAGUAUUCAAUUGUCAGAGGUGAAAUUCUUGGAUUUAUUGAAGACUAACUACUGCGAAAGCAUUUGCCAAGGAUGUUUUCAUUAAUCAAGAACGAAAGUUAGGGGAUCGAAGACGAUCAGAUACCGUCGUAGUCUUAACCAUAAACUAUGCCGACUAGGGAUCGGAUGAUGUUAAUUUUUUAAUGACUCAUUCGGCGCCUUACG